AUACGGAGGGGGUUAGCGUUGUUCGGAAUUACUGGGCGUAAAGCGCACGUAGGCGGACUGGAAAGCUGGGGGUGAAAUCCCGGGGCUCAACCCCGGAACUGCCUCCAAAACUUCCAAUCUAGAGAUCGAGAGAGGUGAGUGGAAUUCCAAGUGUAGAGGUGAAAUUCGUAGAUAUUUGGAGGAACACCAGUGGCGAAGGCGGCUCACUGGCUCGAUACUGACGCUGAGGUGCGAAAGCGUGGGGAGCAAACAGGAUUAGAUACCCUAGUAGUCC
This 274-nucleotide ribosomal RNA is filed under the name uncultured bacterium. Its description in RNAcentral is "partial 16S ribosomal RNA". It matches the Rfam family "Bacterial small subunit ribosomal RNA", at positions 523 to 796 of the family's 1533-position model. The record is from RNAcentral.